UGGGGAAUAUUGCACAAUGGGCGCAAGCCUGAUGCAGCCAUGCCGCGUGUAUGAAGAAGGCCUUCGGGUUGUAAAGUACUUUCAGCGGGGAGGAAGGCGAUAAGGUUAAUAACCUUGUCGAUUGACGUUACCCGCAGAAGAAGCACCGGCUAACUCCGUGCCAGCCGCCGCGGUAAUACGGAGGGUGCAAUCGUUAAUCGGAAUUACUGGGCGUAAAGCGCACGCAGGCGGUCUGUCAAGUCGGAUGUGAAAUCCCCGGGCUCAACCUGGGAACUGCAUUCGAAACUGGCAGGCUAGAGUCUUGUAGAGGGGGGUAGAAUUCCAGGUGUAGCGGUGAAAUGCGUAGAGAUCUGGAGGAAUACCGGUGGCGAAGGCGGCCCCCUGGACAAAGACUGACGCUCAGGUGCGAAAGCGUGGGGAGCAAACA
Molecule: ribosomal RNA, 427 nt
Filed under: uncultured bacterium
Lineage: Bacteria
Description: partial 16S ribosomal RNA
Rfam family: Bacterial small subunit ribosomal RNA
Source: RNAcentral